This 301-nucleotide ribosomal RNA is filed under the name uncultured bacterium. Its description in RNAcentral is "partial 16S ribosomal RNA". It matches the Rfam family "Bacterial small subunit ribosomal RNA", at positions 509 to 807 of the family's 1533-position model. The record is from RNAcentral.
CAGUAGCCACGGUAAUACGUAGGGUGCAAGCGUUAGUCGGAAUUACUGGGCGUAAAGCGUGCGCAGGCGGUUAUUCAAGACAGAUGUGAAAUCCCCGGGCUCAACCUGGGAACUGCAUUUGUGACUGCAUGACUAGAGUACGGCAGAGGGGGAUGGAAUUCCGCGUGUAGCAGUGAAAUGCGUAGAUAUGCGGAGGAACACCGAUGGCGAAGGCAAUCCCCUGGGCCUGUACUGACGCUCAUACACGAAAGCGUGGGGAGCAAACAGGAUUAGAUACCCCUGUAGUCCCUGUCUCUUAUAC